Molecule: ribosomal RNA, 400 nt
Filed under: phytoplankton environmental sample
Lineage: Eukaryota
Description: partial small subunit ribosomal RNA
Rfam family: Eukaryotic small subunit ribosomal RNA
Source: RNAcentral
AGCUCCAAUAGCGUAUAUCUAAGUUGUUGCAGUUAAAAAGCUCGUAGUUGGAUUUUUGAUCGUAAAUGUCCGGUCGGUCUCGAAAGGGAUGUGCACUUGGAUAUUUGGGUCCUAUUUGUGAGGAGCCUUUACUGGCAUUAAGUUGUUGGUUUAGGAGACUUGCAUCGUUUACUGUGAAAAAAUUAGAGUGUUUCAAGCAGGCGUUAGCUUUGAAUACAUUAGCAUGGAAUAAUAAGAUAUGACUAGCGUGGUCUAUUUUGUUGGUUUGCACACGCAAGUAAUGAUUAAUAGGGACAGUUGGGGAUAUUCAUAUUUGAGCGUCAGAGGUGAAAUUCUUGGAUCGCUGAAAGAUGAGCUUAGGCGAAAGCAUUUAUCAUGGAUGUUUUCAUUAAUCAAGAAC